RNAcentral lists this transfer RNA (74 nucleotides) under Planctomycetota bacterium. RNAcentral describes it as "tRNA-Cys". It matches the Rfam family "tRNA". Rfam says of the family: Transfer RNA (tRNA) molecules are approximately 80 nucleotides in length. Their secondary structure includes four short double-helical elements and three loops (D, anti-codon, and T loops). Lineage: Bacteria; Pseudomonadati; Planctomycetota. The record is from RNAcentral.
GGCGGCAUGGCCAAGUGGUAAGGCGUCGGAUUGCAAAUCCGAGAUCCCCGGUUCGAGUCCGGGUGCCGCCUCCA